GGGGACAUAGUUUAGCGGUAAAAUAAGGCUCUCCAAAAGCCUAGUCGGGGGUUCAAUUCCCUCUGUCCCCG
This 71-nucleotide transfer RNA is filed under the name bacterium. RNAcentral describes it as "tRNA-Trp". It matches the Rfam family "tRNA". Rfam says of the family: Transfer RNA (tRNA) molecules are approximately 80 nucleotides in length. Their secondary structure includes four short double-helical elements and three loops (D, anti-codon, and T loops). Further hydrogen bonds mediate the characteristic L-shaped molecular structure. tRNAs have two regions of fundamental functional importance: the anti-codon, which is responsible for specific mRNA codon recognition, and the 3' end, to which the tRNAs corresponding amino acid is attached (by aminoacyl-tRNA synthetases). tRNAs cope with the degeneracy of the genetic code in two manners: having more than one tRNA (with a specific anti-codon) for a particular amino acid; and 'wobble' base-pairing, i.e. permitting non-standard base-pairing at the 3rd anti-codon position. RNAcentral also lists the same sequence under 2 other names. The record is from RNAcentral.